CCCUAUCCGUCGUGGGCGUAGGAAAUUUGAGAGGAGCUGUCCUUAGUACGAGAGGACCGGGAUGGACAUACCUCUGGUGUACCAGUUGUCGUGCCAACGGCAUAGCUGGGUAGCUAUGUGUGGACGGGAUAAGUGCUGAAAGCAUCUAAGCAUGAAGCCCCCCUCAAGAUGAGAUUUCCCAACUUCGGUUAUAAGAUCCCUCAAAGAUGAUGAGGUUAAUAGGUUCGAGGUGGAAGCAUGGUGACAUGUGGAGCUGACGAAUACUAAUCGAUCGAAGACUUAAUCAAAA
Molecule: ribosomal RNA, 289 nt
Filed under: Staphylococcus aureus
Lineage: Bacteria; Bacillati; Bacillota; Bacilli; Caryophanales; Staphylococcaceae
Description: partial 23S ribosomal RNA
Rfam family: Bacterial large subunit ribosomal RNA
Source: RNAcentral